AUUUGGGUAGUUUAAUGUAGAAUAAUAAUUUGUGGAGUUAUAGGUAUCAUUUAGGUCUCAAGUC
This 64-nucleotide transfer RNA is filed under the name Triatoma picturata. Its description in RNAcentral is "tRNA-His". Lineage: Eukaryota; Metazoa; Arthropoda; Insecta; Hemiptera; Reduviidae. The record is from RNAcentral.